This 306-nucleotide ribosomal RNA is filed under the name uncultured bacterium. Its description in RNAcentral is "partial 16S ribosomal RNA". It matches the Rfam family "Bacterial small subunit ribosomal RNA", at positions 507 to 807 of the family's 1533-position model. The record is from RNAcentral.
GACAGCAGUCGCCACGGUAAUACGUAGGGUGCGAGCGUUAAUCGGAAUUACUGGGCGUAAAGCGUGCGCAGGCGGUUAUAUAAGACAGAUGUGAAAUCCCCGGGCUCAACCUGGGAACUGCAUUUGUGACUGGCAAGCUAGAGUCUGGCAGAGGGGGGUGGAAUUCCGCGUGUAGCAGUGAAAUGCGUAGAUAUGCGGAGGAACACCGAUGGCGAAGGCAGCCCCCUGGGCCAACACUGACGCUCAUGCACGAAAGCGUGGGGAGCAAACAGGAUUAGAUACCCCAGUAGUCCCUGUCUCUUAUAC